Molecule: non-coding RNA, 23 nt
Filed under: Cricetulus griseus (Chinese hamster)
Lineage: Eukaryota; Metazoa; Chordata; Mammalia; Rodentia; Cricetidae
Source: RNAcentral
CAUCUAUGGAUGAGAAAUGCGGA